GGAGUGGGCCAUAGCUCAGUGGAAGAGUGUUUGCUUUGCAUGUAGAAGGUCCCAGGUUUAAACCCUGGCACUUCCA
Molecule: non-coding RNA, 76 nt
Organism: Podarcis lilfordi (Lilford's wall lizard)
Lineage: Eukaryota; Metazoa; Chordata; Lepidosauria; Squamata; Lacertidae
Source: the annotation of a GenBank genome assembly